CCCCCUUCCCCCCACUUCCGCAGUCGGUCCUGAGCGCGGGGGUCUGUCCCGGGCCUCCCAAUUUCCCGAUACAGGAGAAACGCCCUGUCAGUGUUUGGCCCCCCACCUCCUCCACACAGAUUUUGGCUCCAGGGAGCCUUCGAGAGAAGAGCCGCGGGUCCCACUGGUCCAAGCUCUGGGUGCUGAAAGCCCUGGCCAGACCACCAACGCCGGGUCCCACAGCCGCCCACAGCCUCCGAUUGCCCCCUGCUGCCCGAUCCUGGAACUACAGCCCCGUCGUGCAAGCCUUCUCUGUCCAGCGUGGAAGCCCAGGCCAGUCUGUGCCAGCUGUCUUCCUGGGACCCUCGUCGUCCUGGCAGUGCCUCUGAGGACCGGGCUCGUGAAAGCCACCCCACAUGUUUAUUGUUUUUCCUGGGUGAUCUCAAGCCCUUCCUGAUCUGUACCAGCUCAGAUCCUCCACAGCUCACAUCAGACCAGCUGGCCCUGCCACUGAUCUAUCUGAUCCCUUUGGGCAGGAAAUGGGGGACCCAGACCGCUGGACACACACCGGACAACAGCCGGCCCUCACAUUUGUGCUGGAUGGUACCAUCUACAAAGGGAUUUUGCUGCGUGUGCUGCUCCCUGUGAUUCUCAUGGAGGAAACUCCACAUCUCAGGCUGAGCACAGUCCUUUGCUGAGAUUUGAUGGGGGGGAAACACGAUCACUGAUGCAACUCCCACCAUGAGCUGCUGCAAAGCCCUGGCAGAAAGAUGAGAUUGGCCUCAGAGCAACAUGGGGCUGCCUGGCCGCGGCCACUCCCUGAGCCUGGUGGGUAUACCUUAAUUUUAUUGAUGCAUCUUGUUUUGAGAGCCUCUCCUGCCCUCUGGGCUGCCCCCACCCUCACCCCCCACCCCCACUCCCACCUCCCUGUUUGGCUAAUGAUAAGUGACAAGCAGUGGACAUUAUAAAUUAAACUGCCCCCGAUAGCCGGUGGUAAAACAGAAGGCUUCACGCAGAGGAGGCAUUCAAAGCAUUUGUGCCGUGUGCCCCCCACCCCCACCUCCCCACUCUCCCCACUCUCCCCACCCCUGCUCAGGGCACAGGCCCCAGGCCCCAGCUGCCGAAGCCUCUCACAACAGACCUUCCGGUCUCUCUGGGCUCCGCUCUGUCAAAUGGAAAUCAGCAACACAGGCCACAGAGUAAUUAAACCGCUGGCAUUCUUUUGACAAAAAAUAUUUCUCUUGGGAUAUUCCCACAGGCCACUGAAGGACUGUCUGGGGCCUGCAAGCUCCCAGCUGAAUAUCAAGGGAGUUUUGAAAUUGGCCUUGACUCGGGAUCAAAAGGGGAUGGGAGUUCGGGGUGUGAAUAUGGGGGUGGGAAAUGCAUUAUAAUUAAAUUUAUCAUUUGGUCUUUCAGCUUGAAGCACCAACACCUGCUUCCCCAGGACAAAUAUGGACAGAGAAUAAAGAGAGACCUUCGAGGCCUGUUUAUUUAUAU
RNAcentral lists this long non-coding RNA (1476 nucleotides) under Sus scrofa (pig). RNAcentral describes it as "lncRNA (ENSSSCG00070011479.1)". The record is from RNAcentral. Lineage: Eukaryota; Metazoa; Chordata; Mammalia; Artiodactyla; Suidae.